CUCAGGUGGGAAAUCAGAGAGGAGUUCGUACUCGUACGGCAGAGAGUCCAACCCACACUGCCACCAGUCGGUAUUGGGGGGAGAGAUGGGUUUGGGGAGCCCCGGUGGCGCGGCGUCGCCCACCAAGCCGGCCGGGCAGUACUACCAGCACUACGGCUCCAACCCUCGGAGGAGAACACUGCCGAUGGACACCAUGGAGGUUCACCCCAAAAAAGUGCGGAAGGUUCCUCCCGGCUUGCCGUCCUCAGU
This is a long non-coding RNA of Notothenia coriiceps (black rockcod), 249 nucleotides long. RefSeq lists it as uncharacterized. The record is from RefSeq and is a predicted model, not a curated record. Lineage: Eukaryota; Metazoa; Chordata; Actinopteri; Perciformes; Nototheniidae. The transcript is spliced from 3 exons.